Molecule: long non-coding RNA, 1378 nt
Organism: Zea mays
Lineage: Eukaryota; Viridiplantae; Streptophyta; Magnoliopsida; Poales; Poaceae
Product: MIR319bHG
Exons: 1
Source: RefSeq, marked validated
CUUGCAACCAUCGAAAACCCAUCUGCCUUCUUCUUCGCGAGAUCCAGGGAGAAACUGAACACUGCACGCCAUGAGGUGCUCAGAAACGGAUCGAUCAACCAGCAGUAGCAAGCGCGGUUGUGCAUCAUGCAUGCAUGUUUGUUCUUCUUUUCUUUUGAUUUGUUGUUGGUCGUUUAAUUUGUCGCCGCCGCCGCCGUCAUGGUUAGUUGCGACGACGAUGGCUGGAUGGAAGAGAGCGUCCUUCAGUCCACUCAGGGGCGGUGCUAGGGUCGAAUUAGCUGCCGACUCAUUCACCCACAUGCCAAGCAAACGGCCAUGGAAACCAGCUUUGCAGAUGAGUGAAUGAAGCGGGAGGUAAAAGCUUCGAUCUCGCACCGUCUUUGCUUGGACUGAAGGGUGCUCCCUCCUCCCUCGCUCCUUGUUUACCUUUAUCGAUCCAUGCAUCAGCUUCGUCAUAUCUCAUGGUUUUACUAGCUUCAUGGUCUGUCUUUGCUUGAGCUGCUUAACUUACAUGUUUGGUUGGCAUCUGAUGCAUACAUAUAUAGCAGCUGCCAAAACGACGGGCAUAUUUUAUUUAGUCCCUUAUCAUGUGCGUGCUUACUGUUCUUCUCUGCUGGUUAAUUGUUAUAUAGCAGUUACGUUCUGUGUGUAUAUAUAAUGGAGAUCCAAAGCUUUUUUUUGUACUUUCCUUGCGCUUUUGAUAUAUAAACUAGCUCUAAAUCCUUGAUCUGCUCGUUGAAUCUACAUAUAUAUUGUUCUCUUCCAAAAAAAGAGAUCCCAUUUCGUUCUGAAGAAAAGAAAAGGAGAUCGAACUUCAUUUGCUUUGCUUGUUUUUGUUUUUUAUAAAGGAAGCAUUUUUAUUAAUAACCAAGGGCAAUACAUCAAGGAGAUACAAAGUCUAUUUGCUUUUGUUGUGUGUAGAUCUUACAGUACAGGAUGGGAUGGGAUCCAUACAUCCAUGAUCCAUGCAUCGUCUCUGCAGGUUUCUGCCGUCUUUCCGUGAUCUGUGGAAGAAGAUGGUGUGCACUGUUGUGGACUUGGACUAAACGAGAUGCAUGCUAGCUUUUCUGGUGCGUGUGGGAAUCUGUGGAAUCACAACGACGCAACUUUCGUUCGGUUCGUGUCGUGCAACAGCGAAACGUCUUUCGAAACUCCCUGUUUGCUUUGGAACUUUGCAUGCAACUAGAUCGAGCUAGUGAUUCGAUGUGUGCUAGCAUAGCACUCCGAUCCUCCCUGUGCUUUUAUUUGGAGCAUUAUGUAUGGCCACCACUUGGACUGAAUCAUCAUCAGGUUUCCGAUGCUUUUUUUCCCUCAUGGAUGUCCCCGAUAAGAGAAGAACGAGGCUGUUUUAGGCACUUGCAUCUGUCCUUUCCCUUGA